CUACAACCAGACAUGAUUAGAAUUCGAAUUCCAAAUUACACGGAAUCCGUAUACAAAACGAUGCAAAUAAUUAAGGAAAUAAUAAAACUAUCCUUCGUGACAAACCGAAACUCCUCCACAUGACAACUGGCAGCUUCCGGACUCCUCCUUUGCAUCAUCGGCAAUCCCUUUGCCAUAGUCAUCGGCAGACCUUUUUAUCCAGCCAUCGGCACCAUAUUACUGCCUGUGGACUUAGUCACAUUCAACCUCUCCCUCAUCGGCAACCAUCCUCAUCAGCAACCCGCAUCGUACUGCCACCCUAUCCUGCCAUCCUAGACACGUGCCCAAAAACGGUGUCAACAGUAAGAGAAAGGCAUGAUAUAAAGUUGAGCCGCUGUUUAUCUUGUUUCUACUACACUAAGUUCUGGAGAUUUAUUUUUGAAAACUUACAAAUCACAUGAUGAGUUCCUAGCAUAACAAAACUACCUACCGCAGCCAUACUUGCAAUAACAUCUUUUACUAUAUUUACAUUGAGUUUGAUCGAGCUGUGUCGACCCUUAGGAACUUUUCAUGUGGUUAAAUUAAGAUAUUCACUUGCACACAUCUACCACAGCAUUCAUCAUCAAUCAUUAAAAUUGCUAAAAAUAUUAUCACUCACUGUCCCAAGUAUUGUUAUUUUCUCUCUCUAAAAAGAUUCAAUGCAGAAGAGGCAUGGAUUAUGCAAAAAUAUAUAGGAGGAAAUAAAAAGGGGCAAGUGCCCGGGAACCUCGAAAAAGAAAGAAAAAGAGUGAGACGAGAGGUAAAAAUGGACAAGUGUCUGAAGUAGAAUUAGGGGUACAAAGAUGCCCACUUGAGCGGAAAAAAUGGACAAGUGUCCGACAGUAGAAUUACGGGUAUCUACUACCCACCUAAUAAAAAAAAAGAGAAAAAGAAAGAAAAGAUAGCCCAUGUUCUCCCAAAGCAAAGAUCAAAGAGGAGGAGAGAUAGCAAUAUGAGGAGCAAUGAGAACUAAGUUUUAUUAUCACUUAUGCAUUUUCACUAUCAUUUACUCCAUCACACAUGCACAUCUUGAUUUAAUUAUUUGCUGAGUUCCUUUGGAUCCAUGGCUCGAUUAGACAACAUAUGUAUGAGCUGUUUGUUUUUUCACUUCUAUGAGCUCCACUUAAAUAUUCCAUUAGCUAUAGGUAAGUGACAUUAUGGUAAGGAUCCACAAAUAACACAUAUAGAGAGACUUGAGAGAAUCGUUGCUGGGAACUCUGAGUUUUAUUUUGAAAACUUAUGAAAAACUCUAGAACAAAAGUGAAGUAUAGACAAGAAGGAUAGUGCUUGACUUAACUAUUUUGUCUUUCGAUUACUUGAGACUUAGGUACAGGUACUAAACUUCAUAACACUUCACUCUAAUCUGGAAGAAUUUUUAUGUAAAAGCAUGUGUGCCUGUCAGGAAAGAAAACAUCGAAGCAACUCCUGAUCCGUCUGAGUUUAGCUGUUUGCUCAGGGACGAGCAAAGGGUAAGCUUGGGGGAGUUUGUUGACGGUCCUUAAGUACUAAAAUUAAUAAUCAAAUAAACAUGAAAAAGGAUCAAUAUGAAACAAUCAUCUAGAAUUAGGGUUUUAUCUGAC
Molecule: long non-coding RNA, 1598 nt
Filed under: Sorghum bicolor (sorghum)
Lineage: Eukaryota; Viridiplantae; Streptophyta; Magnoliopsida; Poales; Poaceae
Description: long non-coding RNA (SBIC_LNC004979)
Source: RNAcentral